Long non-coding RNA from Tribolium castaneum (red flour beetle), 590 nucleotides. RefSeq lists it as uncharacterized. The transcript is spliced from 2 exons. Lineage: Eukaryota; Metazoa; Arthropoda; Insecta; Coleoptera; Tenebrionidae. The record is from RefSeq and is a predicted model, not a curated record.
AUCGUUUUGUUUGAAUAGAACAGUUAGUUUUGAGCGAGCGACCGGUUUCGGCCGAUACUUCUCCAUCAUCGGUGCAAUUUCGGCGUCGCUGCCGUCUAACGAGUCCGAUAUCGAGUCAUUUAAAUGCACUAGCGUUUGCCAUUAUCGAGAACAGUCUGAAUUAUUGGUACAACACGAACGCCGCGGAAACUUGCCGUUCGGUCACAUAACUCUUCUUACGAAAUCAACCUGUUAAUAGGAUUGACACAUCGAGAGACAGAAGAGACGGGGUCGGGGGUCACGCGUGUCUUCGAAAAUGCAAGCUUCGGUGGACGAUGAGAUGAAUCAUUCACGGCUUUCCGAUGCGAAGAAAGGAAAUAAUUUAACACCUGCGGUGUUCUAUUUGCUGGGGUUUCUAGAGUAGACGGACCGAUCGAGCUUGCUGGUCGGCGGUAAUUGAUGGAGCAAAUUGAAUUCGAUUUCCUGGGUCUAGGGCGCUUCCGCACCCAAAUUCUCAAAUUGAAAAUUCUUAAUUUAAUUACUCCGGCACACUUUUUCACCACCUACUAACAGUUAUGUACAAUAAAAGAAAUGAACUCUUUUUCUUACUU